Molecule: ribosomal RNA, 266 nt
Filed under: uncultured bacterium
Lineage: Bacteria
Description: partial 16S ribosomal RNA
Rfam family: Bacterial small subunit ribosomal RNA
Source: RNAcentral
UCCUAGUGGCGAACGGGUGAGUAACGCGUGAGUAACCUGCCUCAUACAACGGGAUACCCGAGGGAAACUUCGGUUAAUACGGUAUAAGACCACACUACCGCAUGGUAGAGGGGUAAAAGGGGCAACCUGGUAUGAGAUGGACUCGCGUCGCAUUAGCUAGUUGGUGAGGUAACGGCCCACCAAGGCGACGAUGCGUAGCCGACCUGAGAGGGUGAUCGGCCACAUUGGGACUGAGAUACGGCCCAGACUCCUACGGAAGGCAGCAG